This is a non-coding RNA of Stomoxys calcitrans (stable fly), 74 nucleotides long. NCBI's taxonomy places the organism in Eukaryota, Metazoa, Arthropoda, Insecta, Diptera, Muscidae. The record is from Rfam.
GGCGCUUUGGCAGUGUGGUUAGCUGGUUGUGUAGUUUUUAAUAUCACAGCCACUAUCUUCACUGCCGCCGCGAC